CUCCAAUCAGAUCUCUGCAUUGUGUGUUAGGGAAGUGCAGUGUUUCCUGCUGUUUUGACUGGCUUCCUCCCAUUGGUGUGUGCUCAGGAUUGGGCAUUUGGUCCUGGAAAGCCACACAGUUUUUAAACAGUGCUCCUGUUGGGGUGAGUUCUUCGAUUUUGUGCAGUGUUUCUGCUACAACGCCAACCAAUUCAAAUAAAGCAUCUGACACUUAAAGCCGUUUGAAGCCUCCCUGGAGACGCCUGCUCACCCUUCUCAGCGUAUUCGACAUGUAGAAGUCAUUGACAUCAAGCAACCCUCCACCUCUUUUCCACUCAGUCAAACCGGGCACUAUGCAGGUCGAUCAUCAGGUCACCAGCAGCACAUCUCUCCAGAUCCCCCCACAGCCGAGGACUGCUGUGCUCAGAAACCCAACCCCACUAGAAACUGUUCAGCCCGGCCUGGUCCAGGCUAUCAUCAAUCCUAAGCGGGGUAUGGAGGGACCCCUCCAGACGCCACAGCCCCCCAAGACCUGUAGCUCACCUGGAACUGCGGGAAAGUCGUGCUGGAGUUUGGAUGUGAGGGUGGCCGUCCUGCUGCUGACCCUGGCUGGAGCUGUAAUCCUCCUGCUGCUGUAUAGACUCUUACAAAUAAGACACAGGCUGAGGUUGGCCAGGGCAAGGAACUCUCUAGAGUACCACAGCUUCUUCCACACCGCCACCUACACACUGAAACACCCUGCGCCGUGUCAGGACCUGCCAGCCAAGAACGGGAUGGUCGCCGAGGCUAUGCAGCCUAUCCAAACUGUAACCGCAGUGACACCCACCGUCAUCACCCCACUUCCACCUCCACCAGUGCCCUCUCCACCCCCACUGCCACUACCACCACCUCCUGUGCUGCCUCCACCACUUUCCAUCCCUCCAACACCUCCCGUCCUGGCCUUCCCUCUCCACCUGCCUAUGAUCCACACCACCCCACCCAGCCCUCAUCUGUCAUGGGGUGCCUGCUCAGACGUAGAUGUGUACUCUCGGAUCGGAGCUUUCAGACCCUCCAGGCUCUCCAGCCUCUCCACUCAUUCGAAAGUCAUCCUGUUUGAACACUCGUCUCUCUGA
This 1091-nucleotide long non-coding RNA is filed under the name Sparus aurata (gilthead seabream). RNAcentral's name for it is "lncRNA (ENSSAUG00010017680.1)". The record is from RNAcentral. Lineage: Eukaryota; Metazoa; Chordata; Actinopteri; Spariformes; Sparidae.